Molecule: ribosomal RNA, 467 nt
Filed under: uncultured bacterium
Lineage: Bacteria
Description: partial 16S ribosomal RNA
Rfam family: Bacterial small subunit ribosomal RNA
Source: RNAcentral
GACGAACGCUGGCGGCGUGCUUAACACAUGCAAGUCGAACGGAAAGGCCUCUUUCGGGGGGUACUCGAGUGGCGAACGGGUGAGUAACACGUGAGUAACCUGCCCUUGACUUUGGGAUAACUUCAGGAAACUGGGGCUAGUACCGGAGAGGAGCUCCUGCUGCAUGGUGGGGGCUGGAAAGUUUCGGCGGUUGGGGAUGGACUCGCGGCUUAUCAGCUUGUUGGUGGGGUAGUGGCUUACCAAGGCUUUGACGGGUAGCCGGCCUGAGAGGGUGACCGGCCACAUUGGGACUGAGAUACGGCCCAGACUCCUACGGGAGGCAGCAGUGGGGAAUAUUGCACAAUGGGUGGAAGCCUGAUGCAGCAACGCCGUGUGCGGGAUGACGGCCUUCGGGUUGUAAACCGCUUUCGCUCAUGACGAAGCUUUGUGUGACGGUAGUGGGUAAAGAAGCACCGGCUAACUACGUG